RNAcentral lists this ribosomal RNA (544 nucleotides) under Dendropsophus seniculus (Corcovado treefrog). RNAcentral describes it as "partial large subunit ribosomal RNA". It matches the Rfam family "Bacterial large subunit ribosomal RNA", at positions 1816 to 2574 of the family's 2925-position model. Lineage: Eukaryota; Metazoa; Chordata; Amphibia; Anura; Hylidae. The record is from RNAcentral.
CGCCUCUUGUUUAAAACUAAGAGGUCCAGCCUGCCCAGUGACCAAGUUCAACGGCCGCGGUAUCCUAACCGUGCGAAGGUAGCGUAAUCACUUGUUCUUUAAAUGAGGACUAGUAUGAAUGGCACCACGAAGGUUAUACUGUCUCCUUUUUCUAAUCAAUGAAACUGAUCUCCCCGUGAAGAAGCGGGGAUGAAAAUAUAAGACGAGAAGACCCUAUGGAGCUUUAAACUAUAUAGCACUGGCUUAAAACAUACACAUUUCAGAAUUACACCAACUAUUCCAGCCUUCAUGUCUGUUAGUUUUAGGUUGGGGUGACCGCGGAGUAAAAAUUAACCUCCACAUUGAACGGAACUAUUCCUGAGCUGAGAGCUACAACUUUAAGCACCAACAAAAUGACAUAAAUUGACCCAAUACUUUGAUCAACGAACCAAGUUACCCUAGGGAUAACAGCGCAAUCCAUUUCAAGAGCUCCUAUCGACAAAUGGGUUUACGACCUCGAUGUUGGAUCAGGGUAUCCCAGUGGUGCAGCCGCUACUAAAGGUUC